UGAAUACGAGACGCUAAGGCGUCGAAGUAGUGUAUGUCAUACUUCCAAGAAAAGCUUGCACUGUCAUAGAUAAAAAACGCCUGUACCAUAACCAACACAGGUGGGUAGGUAGAGUAUACUAAGGGGCGCGAGAUAACUCUCUCAAAGGAACUCGGCAAAAUAACUCCGUAACUUCGGGAGAAGGAGUGCCUUAUUCGUAAGGUUGCAAUAACAAGAUCCAAGCAACUGUUUAUCAAAAACACAGGUCUCCGCUAAGUCGUAAGACGAUGUAUGGGGGCUGACGCCUGCCCAGUGCCAGAAGGUUAAAGAAGUUGGUUAGCAAUUGCGAAGCUGAUAACUGAAGCCCUGGUGAACGGCGGCCGUAACGAUAACGGUCCUAAGGUAGCGAAAUUCCUUGUCGGGUAAGUUCCGACCCGCACGAAAGGCGUAAUGAUUUGGAUACUGUCUCGGAGAGGGGCUCGGUGAAAUAGACUUGUCUGUGAAGAUGCGGACUACCUGCACCAGGACAGAAAGACCCUAUGAAGCUUUACUGUAACUUGAAAUUGAAAUUGGACUUUAUUCGCGCAGCAUAGGUGGGAGGCGUUGAUUAUAAUCUUGCGGGAUUAUUGGAGCCAUCAGUGAGAUACCACUCUUGUAAUGUUAGAUUUCUAACUUUGAAUCAUUAUCUGGUCAAAGAACAGUUUCAGGCGGGCAGUUUGACUGGGGCGGUCGCCUCCUAAACGGUAACGGAGGCGUACAAAGGUUUCCUCUGAACGGUUAGAAAUCGUAUCUAGAGUGUAAAGGCAUAAGGAAGCUUGACUGUGAGACCUACAAGUCGAGCAGGGACGAAAGUCGGUCUUAGUGAUCUGACGGUACUGAGUGGAAAGGCCGUCACUCAACGGAUAAAAGUUACUCUAAGGAUAACAGGCUGAUCUCCCCCAAGAGUUCACAUCGACGGGGAGGUUUGGCACCUCGAUGUCGGCUCAUCGCAUCCUGGGGCGGUAGUACGUCCCAAGGGUUGGGCUGUUCGCCCAUGAAAGCGGUACGCGAGCUGGGUUCAGAACGUCGUGAGACAGUUCGGUCCAUAUCCGGUGUAGGCGUUAGAAUAUUGAGAGGAGCCUUCUUUAGUACGAGAGGACCGAGAAGGACAUACCUCUGGUGUACCAGUUAUCGUGCCAACGGUAAACGCUGGGUAGCUAUGUAUGGAGUGGAUAACCGCUGAAAGCAUCUAAGUGGGAAGCCCACCUCAAGAUAAGUAUUCUCAUC
RNAcentral lists this ribosomal RNA (1245 nucleotides) under metagenome. RNAcentral describes it as "bacterial LSU rRNA". It matches the Rfam family "Bacterial large subunit ribosomal RNA", at positions 1564 to 2818 of the family's 2925-position model. The record is from RNAcentral.